This 192-nucleotide ribosomal RNA is filed under the name endophyte RAb1. RNAcentral's name for it is "partial small subunit ribosomal RNA". It matches the Rfam family "Eukaryotic small subunit ribosomal RNA", at positions 34 to 228 of the family's 1831-position model. The record is from RNAcentral. RNAcentral also lists the same sequence under 1 other name. Lineage: Eukaryota; Fungi; Ascomycota.
GUCUCAAAGAUUAAGCCAUGCAUGUCUAAGUAUAAGCAAUCUAUACCGUGAAACUGCGAAUGGCUCAUUAAAUCAGUUAUCGUUUAUUUGAUAGUACCUUACUACUUGGAUAACCGUGGUAAUUCUAGAGCUAAUACAUGCUAAAAACCUCGACUUCGGAAGGGGUGUAUUUAUUAGAUAAAAAACCAAUGC